CUGUUCGCCAUUUAAAGUGGUACGUGAGCUGGGUUUAAAACGUCGUGAGACAGUUUGGUCCCUAUCUGCCGUGGGCGUUGGAAGUUUGAGAGGGGCUGCUCCUAGUACGAGAGGACCGGAGUGGACGCACCUCUGGUGUACCGGUUGUCACGCCAGUGGCAUUGCCGGGUAGCUAUGUGCGGAAGAGAUAACCGCUGAAAGCAUCUAAGCGGGAAACUCGCCUCAAGAUGAGACUUCCCGGAGGCUCGAACUCCCUGAAGGGUCGUCCUAGACCAGGACGUUGAUAGGCGGGGUGUGCAAGGGCUGCGAGGCCUUGAGCUAACCCGUACUAAUUGCCCGUGCGGCUUGACCCU
RNAcentral lists this ribosomal RNA (353 nucleotides) under Betaproteobacteria bacterium. Its description in RNAcentral is "partial 23S ribosomal RNA". It matches the Rfam family "Bacterial large subunit ribosomal RNA", at positions 2577 to 2925 of the family's 2925-position model. Lineage: Bacteria; Pseudomonadati; Pseudomonadota; Betaproteobacteria. The record is from RNAcentral.